GAAUAUUGCACAAUGGGCGCAAGCCUGAUGCAGCAACGCCGCGUGCCCGAGCACGGCCUUCGGGUUGUAAAGGGCUUUUCUGGCUGACGAGGAAGGACGGUAGGCCAGGAAUAAGCGUCGGCUAACUACGUGCCAGCAGCCGCGGUAAAACGUAGGACGCGAGCGUUAUCCGGAUUUACUGGGCGUAAAGCGCGGGCAGGCGGUGGUCCAAGUCGGACGUGAAAGCUCCCGGCUCAACUGGGAGAGGUCGUUCGAAACUGGGCCGCUAGAGGGCAGUAGAGGGGCGUGGAAUUCCGGGUGGAGUGGUGAAAUGCGUAGAGAUCCGGAGGAACACCAGAGGCGAAGGCGGCGCCCUGGGCUGCACCUGACGCUGAGCCGCGAAAGCUAGGGGAGCGAACGG
Molecule: ribosomal RNA, 400 nt
Filed under: uncultured bacterium
Lineage: Bacteria
Description: bacterial SSU rRNA
Rfam family: Bacterial small subunit ribosomal RNA
Source: RNAcentral